UCCUGGUUAGCUCAUUCGGUAGAGCGCUCCACCUGUAAUGUAGAGGUCCCUGGGGCCUGGUUCGAUACCAGAACCAGGCG
This is a non-coding RNA of Ixodes scapularis (black-legged tick), 80 nucleotides long. NCBI's taxonomy places the organism in Eukaryota, Metazoa, Arthropoda, Arachnida, Ixodida, Ixodidae. The record is from Rfam.